UCUCUUGACACGUGAGUUAGGACACGGCCAUAUUGUCCUUCCGUGCAAGGACAUAUUCUGCGUAUUAUAUCAUACGCCUUUACACAUACCACACGUGUUAUUUCAUCAUUAUUAUGGAGGUCACUCCGGAAGAGGUCUACGAUAACACAACAGAGAACACAUCUUCGCCUCUUAUCGAGACGAAUAACAACGAUGAUAUUGUCAAAAAUGUGCGCAGUAUAAUUUAUCGUAAUCGUAAAAGGAAUACUGAUUCUUCUUUGAGAAGCCCUCUCCCGCCAAAGAGAUCCACUCUGGACCCAUUUGAUUUGCAAGAUCCUAGAAUCUCAAACAAAUACGGCCUCUCAACCAAGCCUCCAUUCGUUAUACAUAUAGAGAAAAUCAUCUAUAAAUCCUUCUCCGCCGCCCAGGAACGGGUUUCGGAAAACAAAGAAAGUAACGACAACGUCAACACAGGUAUCGGCAGCUCUGAUUCUAUCCUUUCUAAUCCUAAUCAAAGAUCUUCCACUGGCUCUUACGGCAUUAUUGCGUUUGGUAAGCGUAUCUUUAAACAUAUUGAUAACUUUUCUUCAGCAUAUGACCUAAAAACUAUAGGUAGGAAUAAAUUCACAGUAACCUUCCCAGAUGGUAAUUCUGCAAAUAAAUUCUGUGAUAUUUUUAAUGAAAAAUCCAAUAUCAUCUUUCCAAGGGAAACAUGGAUAGCAUACAUACCUAGUUACAGAGUUGUUAGACAGUUUGUUGUCAGGGGUAUUGACGAUGAUGAUUCCCCUGAGGACAUAAUAAAAAACAUCCGCCCUCCACCGGAUUGGGACAUUCUGUGGCAGCCUCCAUUCGAAGCUUCCAGACUGAGAAAACCCGUUCGAACCCUAAAUAAGGAUAACACCUCAUCUACUAAAUUCGUUGAUUCUGAUUCAUACAUUAUCCGUUUCAGGACAACAACCGUACCCCCUAGCGUCAUAUAUAUGGGAAAAAGACUUCAUCUCAUCCCAUUUAUCGAAAAAGUCAGAAGGUGUCAGAGGUGCCAGAGAUUCGGCCAUGUUGCAAAGAUAUGCCGGACUCCAUAAAAGAAUGCCAUCUGCCAACGUUGCGGUAAGAAUACCUCUUCUCAUGGCUGUAAUAGUAACGAUAACGAACCCUGCACGGCCGAAAAGCCUUCUUGCAUUAAUUGCCAAAGACAAAAAUUGCCGGACUCUGUUACGGAACACGAGGCAUCCUCCAACUCCUGUCCCAUCUUCCAAAAACAGAGAAAAAUAAAAAAACUCAUGGCUUACCAUAACAUCUCUCAUUUGGAAGCCAUUUCAAUUCUCGAAAAUGCAAAUCCUCAUUCACAACCAAAUAACAUUCUAUCUCAUUCACUCCCUCCUCUUGGAGUUCCUCUUCCUACUUUGGGUGAAUUCCUCCCUGGCGCUCCUCCAGGAUCCUAUGCGGAGGUGGCAUCUAGGAACAACUACAGCAACCACAAUCAUAAUCUUAGCUCAACCUUUAAUAAAAUUCAAUUCCCCAAAAUCGUUAAACCUCAACACAACUCUAAUAUAUCUUCCACUAAUCCAUUAGCAACAUAUAAAAAACAAGAGGCCUAUCCUAAACCUAAAGUCUAUUACCCCUCCCAAAAGAAAAUCACCCACACUACCCCCUCCCAAAUCCCCUCCAGAUCCCCUCCUAAUCCCUCUACUAUCACCGAAUACCAUAAAUCUUUACCGAUCAACAAACAUGCUACCACAUCCACUCUUCCCCCCCUCGCUUCAACUACUAAUAAUCUAAACACUCUCUCCUCACACUCUGAAAUCAUAAAUAAUUGGAUACUUGAAUGCCAAAACAGAUUCUCCUCUGUCAAUCUCAUACAAACUGAUAUAUUAUCCCAAAUGGGAAUUUUCCUUAACAAUGCCAUUCUUUCUUGAUGGACUCUGCCAUGGGCUAUCUUACGCUCAUUACACAAAGUAAAUUCACAUAAUGACAAUCAAUAUUUUGCAGUGGAAUUGUCGCUCAUUGCAGAGGAGAAUCCCGGAAUUGGCUUUUCUACUUGAUAAUUACAAAAUAGAUAUCGCCACUUUAUGCGAAAUUAGAUUAGACGAACAAUUCCGCCCCAACGUUAAUAACUAUGAUAUCUAUUCCCAAGAUUGCAACCGUCAUGGCGGUGGCGUCGCUAUCUUAAUCCAUAAGAAAUACAGAUUCACACAAAUAGCAGAUAAUAAUAUGAACCUUAUCUGCAACCGUAAUAACAUUGAAUACAUAUUAGGAAAAGUCUGGCUUAAUCCGGAUAAACACAUAUAUAUCUGUUCGCUCUAUAGCCCUCCCCGAGGCGAUGUUUUGAGUUCGGAUCAGGAGGGAAGCAAACUGGAAAACGCCAUAUCACAGUUUAAUCUCCCAUGUCUUAACGACGGUGGUUAUACCUGGUCGUCGGUGGAUUUCUCGUCCACCUCAGCCCUUGAUGUCACACUGACCUCUCCAUCUAUUGCGCACAAAUGCACUUGGGAGGUUCUUGACGGGAAGCACGGUAGCGACCAUUUUCCUAUUUUAAUAACCAUCUCACACUAUAACUCUAGCCCGUCUUUCGGUCGCCCCUCCUUUGUCACUACCAACAU
Molecule: RNA transcript, 2579 nt
Organism: Formica exsecta
Lineage: Eukaryota; Metazoa; Arthropoda; Insecta; Hymenoptera; Formicidae
Exons: 2
Source: RefSeq, a predicted model, not a curated record